UUGUAUUCUUUUGGCCUUUGCUAUUCUAAUUGUGGGGUCUUUAGCAACAAUGCACAAAAUGAAAGCCAUUCAGUCGAUAGUGGUCAGACAACCACUGGGAUGGAUCCACAAAUGACUGACUAUAGUUUCAGUUUGUUCUUUGAUACCAUCUCACAUAC
RNAcentral lists this small nucleolar RNA (158 nucleotides) under Musa acuminata subsp. malaccensis (wild Malaysian banana). RNAcentral describes it as "small nucleolar RNA snoR143". It matches the Rfam family "small nucleolar RNA snoR143". The record is from Rfam by way of RNAcentral. Lineage: Eukaryota; Viridiplantae; Streptophyta; Magnoliopsida; Zingiberales; Musaceae.